This 1285-nucleotide ribosomal RNA is filed under the name uncultured bacterium. Its description in RNAcentral is "partial 16S ribosomal RNA". It matches the Rfam family "Bacterial small subunit ribosomal RNA", at positions 97 to 1399 of the family's 1533-position model. The record is from RNAcentral.
GGGGGACGGAAGAUUAACAUUAGGGUAACAUGCCUCACACAGAGGAAUGACAAUAACAAAUGACUGCUAAUACCGAAUAAACGCAAUCUAUCGCAUGAUGCAGUGUGAAAAACUCCAGUGGUGUGAGAUGGACCCGCGUUGGAUUAGGUAGUUGACAGGGCAGCGGUCUACCAAGGUGAUGAUCCAUAGCCGGCCUGAGAGGGUGAACGGCCUCAUUGGGAAUGAGACACGGCCCAAACUCCUACGGGAGGCAGCAGCUGGGGAAUAUUGCACAAUGGGGGAAACCCUGAUGCAGUGACUCCGCGUGAAGGAAGAAGUAUCUCGGUAUGUAAACUUCUAUCAGCAGGGAAGAAAAUAGACGGUUCCUGAGUAAGAAGCCCCGGCUAUCUACGUGCCAGCAGCCGCGGUAAUACGUAGGGGGCAAGCGUUAUCCGGAUUUACUGGGUGUAAAGGGUGCGUAGGCGGUCUUUCAAUGUCAGGAGUUAUAGGCUACGGCUCAUCCGUAGUAAGCUCCUGAUACUGUAUGACUUGAGUGCAGGAGAGGAAAGCGGAAUUCCCAGUGUAGCGGUGAAAUGGGUAGAUUUUGGGAGGAACACCAGUAGGGAAGGCGGCUUUUUGGACUGUAACUGACGUUGAGGCACGAAAGCGUGGGGAGCAAACAGGAUUAGAUACCCUGGUGGUCCACGCUGUAAACGAUGAGUACUAGGUGUCGGGGGUCCCCACCUUGGGGCUCGCAGGUUACCGAUUAAGUUCUCCCGCUGGGGAGAGCGCACGCACAUGUGUAACUCUCAGGAAUAUACGGGGAGCCCCACACGUAGCGGAGCACGUGGUUUAAUUUGAGGCAACGCGAGGAGCACUUCCUAGGCUCGACAUCUUUUUGGCAGUGGCCUAUUAUCCUCUUUCCUUCCUGGGACAGAAGAGACCGGGGGCGCAUGGUUGUUGUCAGCUUGUGUUGUGAGAUGUUGGGUUAAGUUCCGCAACGAGGGCCACCCUUGUCUUUAGUUGCCUUCCUUUAGUUGGACCCUUUAGAGAGACUGCCAGGGAUAACCUGGGGGAAGGGGGGGAAGAAGUCAAAUCCUCCUGCCCCUUAAUCUUAGGGGUACCCCCGUGGUUCCAUGGGCGGGACCGAGGGCAGCCAAUCCCUGAGGGGGAGCAAAUCCUUUAAAACCAUUCUCAGUUCGGAUUGUAGGCUGAAACUCGCCUACAUGAAGCUGGAGUUACUAGUAAUCGCAGAUCAGCAUGUUGCGGUGAAUGCGUAACCGGGCCUUGCACACACCGCCCGUCA